AGUAGCUCCUAAUUAAUGACCACCAAUCAAAACUGCCAAAUUUAUCUUAAACAUCAACUGGUUAAUCAGUUUCAACUUGAUCAAUUUAUAGACUUGGGUUUGACCACUAAGCUAGAGAUCAAAGUCCAUUUGGAUCUAAUCAAAGAUAUGGACUCGACCAACGACAACUAUUGUAUUGGCUCUAAAGAAAUCCUGAUUUAAUCU
RNAcentral lists this long non-coding RNA (204 nucleotides) under Elaeis guineensis (African oil palm). RNAcentral's name for it is "long non-coding RNA (EGUI_LNC024458)". The record is from RNAcentral. Lineage: Eukaryota; Viridiplantae; Streptophyta; Magnoliopsida; Arecales; Arecaceae.